Molecule: long non-coding RNA, 634 nt
Filed under: Numida meleagris (helmeted guineafowl)
Lineage: Eukaryota; Metazoa; Chordata; Aves; Galliformes; Numididae
Description: lncRNA (ENSNMEG00000002260.1)
Source: RNAcentral
AUGACGUACUAUGACAAAGCUGUCGGGGAAGGGAGAGAAGUCACACAAAAAAGCCAUGCACCAAGGUGCUACUCCACCCCUGAACUGACAGCAAGCCAGGCAGAGAGACUGGAGAGGCCAUGGACUCUCAGUGGGCUGGAAAAGGAUCUGUCUUCUUCCCAGCACCUUCAGGCUGCUGCUGGUGGCCCGAGUGCAGCAGGGAUGUUGCUGUAUAGGCAAAAGCUGGAUCCAACCUUUGGUACCUACCAGCACUUCAUGCUGGAGACAGGCCAGGCCCUGCAACACGAGGCUCAGCAGAACAAGAACAUGGCCCUGCGCUCCUCGGUUUUGGUGGAAGACUGCUUUAACCUUGACCGGAGCUCUACCUACAGCACCGAUUUCCAGCGCCAGCCUGCAGCCUACAGUGGAUGCUGUACAGCAAAUAAGAAUGUGUCUCACGUUUUCACUGAAGAUCAGCACUUCCACCAGAACCGCUGGGUAUCUGAGUACAAGGACAACUACAGCAUUCACUUGCACAGGCUGAAUUGGGCAUCUCAAGGCCCCGCUGCAGAGCUCCACUCUGCCUUGAAGCCCCAAGGGCCGUCCUCCCAGAGUGAGGUUGCACCAGACACAGCCCAGUGACUGGUGCUGCAUG